AAGGCUUUAUAUAGCCAUAGUUUCUUAUUCAAUGAAUUAUCCCUUUCAAUCUUCACUCUCUGUUUUCCACAAGAUGUAAUAAUAAUAUAUUUAAACUUUCUCAAUUGGCUUAGUUUACUUGAUCAUUAUAUUAUGCAUCAUGGUACCAUGCACAGCCAAGACGAAAGAUAGAAGGAGAUUUGAGAAAAUUGGAGGCGUCGUUAGAAUCCAUGGAAGAAAACGAUGGUGAGAUUGAAGAAGGCAGAGAUGGCAAAGCCAAAAUUGACGAGCGUGAAGCCCGAGUGGGAUGUGUACAGCUUCGAUGAGCAGUUUUCAUCAGGCGAGGAGGAGGCUUUAGAAACUUAUAGCAUCGUUAAACGCCAGCUGAUCGAGAGCAAGGAUUUUACGUGGAGCCAUGGAGAAGGCUAAGGUGCUGUUCGUUUCUCCAUUGAGAUGGAUCAUCCAGAUGGAGAUGAAAAAUGAUGCUCUUUUUUGACCAUUUAACAGAUCAUUGAGAUGAAUCAGUUGAAUGAACUUUACUAAACUCAUUUUGAAAAUUUUGAAAAUUUUGACCGAGUCUGAUUGGUGCAGUCAGCCGGAAAUGUCAAAAAUACCCCUAAUGAAACUCAACAAUUACACAUCGAUUUUCUUCUCUUCUCUCGGCGACGACAAGCUCUGUUCUCUCUCACACGUCAUUUUGAUCUCUCUCGGCGGACGAAGCUCUCUCUCGCUUCGAUUUCUCUCUCGACUCCUUCUCCUGUUUAAAUUUGCUUUAAAGACGAUGCAACAAGGUCAGGAGAAGAAGCAAGAAGAUAGUGAUUUUAAACAUUGGGAAAUGGUGGAAUCAUAUGAGCAGCAUGGUGAUGAAAAUGAUGGGCAUGUUCCAUAUGUACCUUCUGGUGACAGAAUUAUGGAGGCUAUGCGGGAUUCUGUUAAAUCUCUUCUGGUUCAAUAAGAUUGGUACUUUAGCUGAGUUUUGAUGUUGCAGGUUGAUCUUAAGGCUGAGGCAGAGAAGACUGAUGGUGGUGUUGGAACUGGUAACCAGAAUAAGAAUUUGAAGACUUUGACAAAGGAGAUGCUCUAUAUGAGGCUUGGGUUGUAUUGAUUUUUGAAGUUUAUGUUUGGUAAUGAUGUUGGCUCUUCGUUAAUUGUCAUAACAUAUGUUUUGGUUCUUAUAAAAAAAUCAAUUUCAUGAAAA
This is an RNA transcript of Arabidopsis lyrata subsp. lyrata, 1177 nucleotides long. RefSeq lists it as uncharacterized. The record is from RefSeq and is a predicted model, not a curated record. The transcript has 6 exons. Lineage: Eukaryota; Viridiplantae; Streptophyta; Magnoliopsida; Brassicales; Brassicaceae.